GGAUAGAUGUCUGAGUGGCUUAAGGUAUCAGUCUUGAAAACUGAAGUGUUGAAAAACACCGGGUGUUCGAAUCACCCUCUAUCCG
RNAcentral lists this transfer RNA (85 nucleotides) under Nephroselmis olivacea. RNAcentral's name for it is "tRNA-Ser". It matches the Rfam family "tRNA". Rfam says of the family: Transfer RNA (tRNA) molecules are approximately 80 nucleotides in length. Their secondary structure includes four short double-helical elements and three loops (D, anti-codon, and T loops). Further hydrogen bonds mediate the characteristic L-shaped molecular structure. tRNAs have two regions of fundamental functional importance: the anti-codon, which is responsible for specific mRNA codon recognition, and the 3' end, to which the tRNAs corresponding amino acid is attached (by aminoacyl-tRNA synthetases). tRNAs cope with the degeneracy of the genetic code in two manners: having more than one tRNA (with a specific anti-codon) for a particular amino acid; and 'wobble' base-pairing, i.e. permitting non-standard base-pairing at the 3rd anti-codon position. Lineage: Eukaryota; Viridiplantae; Chlorophyta; Nephroselmidophyceae; Nephroselmidales; Nephroselmidaceae. The record is from RNAcentral.